UUGACCUCGGAUCAGGUAGGGAUACCCGCUGAACUUAAGCAUAUCAAUAAGCGGAGGAAAAGAAACCAACCGGGAUUGCCUCAGUAACGGCGAGUGAAGCGGCAAGAGCUCAAAUUUGAAAGCUGGCUCCUUCGGGGUCCGCAUUGUAAUUUGCAGAGGAUGCUUCGGGUGCAGCCCCCGUCUAAGUGCCCUGGAACGGGCCGUCAU
This 207-nucleotide ribosomal RNA is filed under the name Aspergillus iranicus. RNAcentral describes it as "partial 28S ribosomal RNA". It matches the Rfam family "Eukaryotic large subunit ribosomal RNA", at positions 1 to 206 of the family's 3401-position model. Lineage: Eukaryota; Fungi; Ascomycota; Eurotiomycetes; Eurotiales; Aspergillaceae. The record is from RNAcentral.